AGGAGGAGCCACAUCCUCGAGAGGAGGAGCCACAUCCUCGAGGAGACCUUAGCUGCUUUUUGCUUUAUUUUGACAUGUAUUCCUUUUUGCUUUACUUAUUGUAUUCUCAAAUAUAUUUACAUACAAAUCUAUACAAUGAGUAGACGUAUUCUCUUCAAUUGUGUGCAAUUUGAUCUCUAAUUGAUUGUUUGUUCUGCUUACCUCCUUUUUGAU
RNAcentral lists this long non-coding RNA (213 nucleotides) under Phoenix dactylifera (date palm). Its description in RNAcentral is "long non-coding RNA (PDAC_LNC022084)". Lineage: Eukaryota; Viridiplantae; Streptophyta; Magnoliopsida; Arecales; Arecaceae. The record is from RNAcentral.